UACGUAGGUGGCAAGCGUUAUCCGGAUUUACUGGGUGUAAAGGGCGUGUAGGCGGGAGAGCAAGUCAGACGUGAAAUUCCAGGGCUCAACCCUGGAACUGCGUUUGAAACUGUUCUUCUUGAGUGAUGGAGAGGCAGGCGGAAUUCCGUGUGUAGCGGUGAAAUGCGUAGAUAUACGGAGGAACACCAGUGGCGAAGGCGGCCUGCUGGACAUUAACUGACGCUGAGGCGCGAAGGCGUGGGGAGCAAACAGG
Molecule: ribosomal RNA, 253 nt
Filed under: uncultured bacterium
Lineage: Bacteria
Description: partial 16S ribosomal RNA
Rfam family: Bacterial small subunit ribosomal RNA
Source: RNAcentral